RNAcentral lists this transfer RNA (62 nucleotides) under Helopeltis sp. Its description in RNAcentral is "tRNA-Ile". The record is from RNAcentral. Lineage: Eukaryota; Metazoa; Arthropoda; Insecta; Hemiptera; Miridae.
AAUAAGAUGCCUGAUUAAAAGGACUAUUUUGAUAGAAUAGAUAAUGUGAUUCACUCUUAUUA